Molecule: ribosomal RNA, 524 nt
Filed under: Entrophospora etunicata
Lineage: Eukaryota; Fungi; Glomeromycota; Glomeromycetes; Entrophosporales; Entrophosporaceae
Description: SSU rRNA
Source: RNAcentral
UUUGGAGGGCAAGUCUGGUGCCAGCAGCCGCGGUAAUUCCAGCUCCAAUAGCGUAUAUUAAAGUUGUUGCAGUUAAAAAGCUCGUAGUUGAAUUUCGGGAUUGACACAUCGGUCGUGCCUUAAGGGGUAUGAACUGGUGUAGUCAAUUUCUCACCUUCUGGAGAACCGCGAUGCCCUUAAUUGGGUGUCACGGGGAACCAGGACCUUUACUUUGAAAAAAUUAGAGUGUUUAAAGCAGGCAUUUUGCUUGAAUACAUUAGCAUGGAAUAAUAAAAUAGGACGGCAUGAUUCUAUUUUGUUGGUUUCUAGGAUCACCGUAAUGAUUAAUAGGGAUAGUUGRGGGCAUUAGUAUUCAAUUGUCAGAGGUGAAAUUCUUGGAUUUAUUGAAGACUAACUACUGCGAAAGCAUUUGCCAAGGAUGUUUUCAUUAAUCAAGAACGAAAGUUAGGGGAUCGAAGACGAUCAGAUACCGUCGUAGUCUUAACCAUAAACUAUGCCGACUAKGARUCAGMWCGACGUCCCCG